This 464-nucleotide ribosomal RNA is filed under the name uncultured bacterium. RNAcentral's name for it is "partial 16S ribosomal RNA". It matches the Rfam family "Bacterial small subunit ribosomal RNA", at positions 28 to 506 of the family's 1533-position model. The record is from RNAcentral.
GACGAACGCUGGCGGCGUGCUUAACACAUGCAAGUCGAACGGAAAGGCCCUGCUUGCAGGGUACUCGAGUGGCGUACGGGUGAGUAACACGUGGGUGAUCUGCCCUGCACUUCGGGAUAAGCCUGGGAAACUGGGUCUAAUACCGGAUAGGAGCCAUUUUUAGUGUGAUGGUUGGAAAGUUUUUUCGGUGUAGGAUGAGCUCGCGGCCUAUCAGCUUGUUGGUGGGGUAAUGGCCUACCAAGGCGGCGACGGGUAGCCGGCCUGAGAGGGUGGACGGCCACAUUGGGAUGGAGAUACGGCCCAGCCCCCUAGGGGAGGAAGCGGGGGGGAAUUUUGCAAAAUGGGCGAAAGCCUGAUGCGGGGACGCCGGGGGGGGGAUGACGGCCUUCGGGUUGUAAACUCCUUUCGCUGGGGAGGAAGCUUUUUGUGACGGUACCUAGAUAAGAAGCACCGGCUAACUACGG